GACGAACGCUGGCGGCGUGCUUAACACAUGCAAGUCGAGCGGUAAGGCCCUUCGGGGUACACGAGCGGCGAACGGGUGAGUAACACGUGGGUGAUCUGCCUCGUACUCUGGGAUAAGCCUGGGAAACUGGGUCUAAUACCGGAUAUGACCACGAAUCGCAUGGUUUGUGGUGGAAAGAUUUAUCGGUGCGAGAUGGGCCCGCGGCCUAUCAGCUUGUUGGUGGGGUAAUGGCCUACCAAGGCGACGACGGGUAGCCGACCUGAGAGGGUGACCGGCCACACUGGGACUGAGACACGGCCCAGACUCCUACGGGAGGCAGCAGUGGGGAAUAUUGCACAAUGGGCGAAAGCCUGAUGCAGCGACGCCGCGUGAGGGAUGACGGCCUUCGGGUUGUAAACCUCUUUCGACAGGGACGAAGCGCAAGUGACGGUACCUGUAGAAGAAGCACCGGCCAACUACGUGCCAGCAGCCGCG
This 474-nucleotide ribosomal RNA is filed under the name Nocardia nova. RNAcentral describes it as "bacterial SSU rRNA". It matches the Rfam family "Bacterial small subunit ribosomal RNA", at positions 28 to 519 of the family's 1533-position model. Lineage: Bacteria; Bacillati; Actinomycetota; Actinomycetes; Mycobacteriales; Nocardiaceae. The record is from RNAcentral.